GAUUAAGUUAUUAAGGGCGCACGGUGGAUGCCUUGGCACUAGAAGCCGAUGAAGGACGUUACUAACGACGAUAUGCUUUGGGUAGCUGUAAGUAAGCGUUGAUCCAGAGAUUUCCGAAUGGGGGAACCCAGCAUGAGUUAUGUCAUGUUAUCGACAUGUGAAUUCAUAGCAUGUCAGAAGGCAGACCCGGAGAACUGAAACAUCUUAGUACCCGGAGGAAGAGAAAGAAAAAUCGAUUCCCUGAGUAGCGGCGAGCGAAACGGGAAGAGCCCAAACCAACAAGCUUGCUUGUUGGGGUUGUAGGACACUCUAUACGGAGUUACAAAAGAACAUGUUAGACGAAUCAUCUGGAAAGAUGAAUCAAAGAAGGUAAUAAUCCUGUAGUCGAAAACAUAUUCUCUCUUGAGUGGAUCCUGAGUACGACGGAGCACGUGAAAUUCCGUCGGAAUCUGGGAGGACCAUCUCCUAAGGCUAAAUACUCUCUAGUGACCGAUAGUGAACCAGUACCGUGAGGGAAAGGUGAAAAGUACCCCGGAAGGGGAGUGAAAGAGAACUUGAAACCGUGUGCUUACAAGUAGUCAGAGCCCGUUAAUGGGUGAUGGCGUGCCUUUUGUAGAAUGAACCGGCGAGUUACGAUCUGAUGCAAGGUUAAGCAGCAAAUGUGGAGCCGCAGCGAAAGCGAGUCUGAAUAGGGCGUUGAGUAUUUGGUCGUAGACCCGAAACCAGGUGAUCUACCCUUGGUCAGGUUGAAGUUCAGGUAACACUGAAUGGAGGACCGAACCGACUUACGUUGAAAAGUGAGCGGAUGAACUGAGGGUAGCGGAGAAAUUCCAAUCGAACUUGGAGAUAGCUGGUUCUCUCCGAAAUAGCUUUAGGGCUAGCCUCAAGUGAUGAUUAUUGGAGGUAGAGCACUGUUUGGACGAGGGGCCCCUCUCGGGUUACCGAAUUCAGACAAACUCCGAAUGCCAAUUAAUUUAACUUGGGAGUCAGAACAUGGGUGAUAAGGUCCGUGUUCGAAAGGGAAACAGCCCAGACCACCAGCUAAGGUCCCAAAAUAUAUGUUAAGUGGAAAAGGAUGUGGCGUUGCCCAGACAACUAGGAUGUUGGCUUAGAAGCAGCCAUCAUUUAAAGAGUGCGUAAUAGCUCACUAGUCGAGUGACACUGCGCCGAAAAUGUACCGGGGCUAAACAUAUUACCGAAGCUGUGGAUUGUCCUUUGGACAAUGGUAGGAGAGCGUUCUAAGGGCGUCGAAGCAUGAUCGCAAGGACAUGUGGAGCGCUUAGAAGUGAGAAUGCCGGUGUGAGUAGCGAAAGACGGGUGAGAAUCCCGUCCACCGAUUGACUAAGGUUUCCAGAGGAAGGCUCGUCCGCUCUGGGUUAGUCGGGUCCUAAGCUGAGGCCGACAGGCGUAGGCGAUGGAUAACAGGUUGAUAUUCCUGUACCACCUAGUAUCGUUUUAAUCGAUGGGGGGACGCAGUAGGAUAGGCGAAGCGUGCUGUUGGAGUGCACGUCCAAG
This 1515-nucleotide ribosomal RNA is filed under the name Staphylococcus epidermidis. RNAcentral describes it as "partial 23S ribosomal RNA". It matches the Rfam family "Bacterial large subunit ribosomal RNA", at positions 1 to 1516 of the family's 2925-position model. The record is from RNAcentral. Lineage: Bacteria; Bacillati; Bacillota; Bacilli; Caryophanales; Staphylococcaceae.